This 72-nucleotide transfer RNA is filed under the name bacterium. RNAcentral describes it as "tRNA-Arg". It matches the Rfam family "tRNA". Rfam says of the family: Transfer RNA (tRNA) molecules are approximately 80 nucleotides in length. Their secondary structure includes four short double-helical elements and three loops (D, anti-codon, and T loops). The record is from RNAcentral.
GCUCUCGUAGCUCAAUGGAUAGAGCAAGACCCUUCUAAGGUCGAGAUAUAGGUCCGAUUCCUAUCGAGAGCA